CCUACGGGAGGCAGCAGUGAGGAAUAUUGGUCAAUGGACGCAAGUCUGAACCAGCCAAGUAGCGUGCAGGAUGACGGCCCUCCGGGUUGUAAACUGCUUUUAGUUGGGAAUAAAAGGGGGCUCGUGAGCCCCGUAUUGUCUGUACCAUCAGAAAAAGGACCGGCAAAUUCCGUGCCAGCAGCCGCGGUAAUACGGGAGGUCCGGGCGUUAUCGGAAUUUAUGGGGUUUAAAGGGAUCGUAGGCCGGCUUUUAAGUCAGCGGUGAAAGUCCGGGCUCAACCGUGGAAUUGCAGUUGAAACUGGAGGCCUUGAGUGCACACAGGGAUGCUGGAAUUCAUGGUGUAGCGGUGAAAUGCGUAGAUAUUAGGAGGAACACCAGUGGCGAAGGCGGUCUGCUGGACAGCAACUGACGCUGAGGCGCGAAAGCGUGGGGAGCAAACAGGAUUAGAUACCCUUGUAGUC
RNAcentral lists this ribosomal RNA (461 nucleotides) under uncultured bacterium. Its description in RNAcentral is "partial 16S ribosomal RNA". It matches the Rfam family "Bacterial small subunit ribosomal RNA", at positions 338 to 795 of the family's 1533-position model. The record is from RNAcentral.